AGUUUCGCUUGAACUUUUGAAUGAUUUGAAACUGUGGGAAUGUCUUUGGGUGUGUGAUGCUGAUUGUUCUAUUCCACUGAUUGUU
Drosophila innubila is the source of this 85-nucleotide long non-coding RNA. RefSeq lists it as uncharacterized. The transcript has 3 exons. The record is from RefSeq and is a predicted model, not a curated record. Lineage: Eukaryota; Metazoa; Arthropoda; Insecta; Diptera; Drosophilidae.